Cornus florida is the source of this 2304-nucleotide RNA transcript. RefSeq lists it as uncharacterized. The record is from RefSeq and is a predicted model, not a curated record. The transcript has 3 exons. Lineage: Eukaryota; Viridiplantae; Streptophyta; Magnoliopsida; Cornales; Cornaceae.
AACUGCAAAGCUAUUGAGAAGGGAAAGUUAAUAGAGAGACUCGUUUAUUCGCAACAUCGAGCGAGAGAGAGAGAGAGAGAGAGAGAGAUCAGCUUCUGCUUUUAGAGAGAGAAACUAAAAAUCGAUGCGUUUGUGGCGUUAGAUUUGACACACACUCAUUAAUCGAACAUCAAAACAUCUCUGUUCUAAUUCAUAUAUCUCAAUUCUUUCAGAUUUUUAGGGUUUCUGAUCUGAUCGUAUCUAGCCGUUAAAUUUACGUUUUCGUUUUGAAAUUAGCCAUAGAUUUUGAUUUUUUUGGAUCAGAGUAACAGUUCGAAUUGGCAACUGAGUAGAGUAUUGAUUCAUUGAUCGAUCGAUUUCUAGGGUUUCCUUCUGGUUCACUUAAUUGAUUGAUUAGGGUUGUCCAUAAGAAUGAACGAUCAGGCACAGAUGAUGAACAAAUCGAAAAUGAUGAGUCAGCCUCAGUUAAUGAAUCAGCCUCCGGUAAUUAGUCAAUCACAAUUUCUGAGUCAGCCUCAAAUGAUGAACCAGAACUCUCAAAUGCUGAAUCAGCCUCAGUUGAUGAAUCAGAAGUCUCAGAUGUUGAAUCAGUCUCAGUUGAUGAUGAAUCAGUCGCAGUCCCAGGGGAUGAGUAAGCCGCAGAUGCUGAAUCGACGCUAUGGGAUGUGGUCUCCUCAGACUUCGAUGGACCCCAUGAAGUUUCCGAACCCUAUGAAACAGGGUUUUGUUGCUGCGAAUCCGCCAGGGCGGAGCAAUCGCAAAGGAAAGAAAGGGAAUGAGAAGUGGAAGGAUGGAAAAAGGAAAGAAAAGCAAGUUAUAGUCGGUGGCGGCAUUGGUCCUGCCGGGGUUGUCAGUGGUGGUGGAGCUGGUGGUGGAGGCUACAGACCUCCAAAACUCAAUGAGUUGCAGCAGCAGAAUCGUCUGAAGGCCCGGAAGUUCUAUCCGAAGAAGAAAUAUAAUAGGUUUGCUCCUUUUGCUCCUCGCAACACGACUUCGUUUAUAAUUAGGGCAAAGAAAUCUGGUGGGAUUGCAUCACUGGUUUCUCCUUGUCCGGUAACCCCCGCAGUACUUCCAACACCCAUUUUCUCGCCCUCGAGGGAGGUUUUGGGGGAUAUGGCGAAGGAAGAGUGGGGGGUUGAUGGGUAUGGGUCGAUGAAUGGAUUAAUUAGGCUUCGCUCGCCUGGUAAUGAUGCAGAUGUGCACGACUAUGAGGAAGAAGAGGAAGGAGGAUCGAGUGAGAGUGAUGUGGAGGAACAUGUCGAGGUGGAGAGGCGAUUGGAUCAUGAUUUGAGCCGUUUUGAGAUGAUUUACCCGAACAGUGGUGCCGGUUGUGUCGGGUACAAUAAUGUGUUGGAGAAUAGGGUGGAUGAUCAAGAUACCCAUAUAGCCCAAUUGGAAGAAGAGAAUCUGAUCUUAAAGGAGAGGCUAUUCUUGAUGGAGAGGGAGUUGGGGGAUUUGAGGAGGAGGUUGCAGAGUCUUGAGAAGCGAAACCAAGCAGUGGUGGAAAUCACUGAGGAGGUGGUAGAAAAUGUAUCUGAAAAUGAAAGUGACGGUCGAGGGGAUGUCCAUUCAACAGAGGAGAAUAAUGAGGAGGUGGUGGAAGAAAACAAUGAGCCUGGGAAGGAUGCUGAAGCAAAGGAGAAUAAUGAUGAGGCAUCUGAGACUGAGGGUGUAGCCGAUGUUUGUAUGGUAGAGUUUGCAAAUGAAUCAGAGAAAAAGUUUGCAGAGAACCAAUCUGAGGAAGGAGGAGCUGGAGAUAAAUGUUUAGAAGAGAAGAACAUUGACGAUGGUGACUUAUCUAAUUGUCCCGCGUUAAUGCUGUUUGGCAGCAUGUGAAACUACUGCUCCAGUCUAUGAUUGACUUGGUCAGCUAUUGCUCUCUUGCUCCAUCAGAAGACAUCUCAAUUAGAUGGAUUAUUGCUGCUAAAAUGAGGAAAGGUUCAAGCUUUGCAUCUGCAGAACACUACCGAUACAGAGUGAGAUGAUAAUCUGGUAGUGCUAAUUAGGGGGAAAAAUGGAGGUAUCCUGGAGCCGGCUCAGGCUUGCUCGUCAAAGCAAGGAUAAGCAGAUGUUGGCUGUUUGAGAGUGAAUAUUGUUGAAAAAAUUGUGUAUUAGCGAAUGAAAGGUAUUAUGUGAAUCUUGUAUUAGCCGAUAGUCGAAUGUAUUUUUGGUGGGUUAUGCCGAGAAAUGGCAAAUAAAGAACCCCAUGUUCUUUGUGUUGGAUGGAAACUAUGGGAAUGAAAAUUUUCAGAUGGCUGGAACUGGUGGUCUUUAGACCUUCAUAAGAAUUCAAAUUUUCUUCCA